GCUACUACAAAGAUAUCAAUAACCAUCCAAAAAUCACUUAAAAUUUAAUAUCCCUUAAUUUCCAAAGACACUUUGUGAUCUGACUGUUCUUGAAGGAAAGCCUAGAACUGAAACUACUAGAACUUGGCUCCUCUCUAGGAAUGUGGAGACAGGUAUUCUGCAAAGGAGAACUUGACAAGGAAUGCUACAAAAUACCAGUCACCUCUUUAGAAGCUCCUCCCACCUCUCCUGCUCCAUUUGAUGGAAUGGCAGGCUGGAUUCAGAGAGGCACGUGCCAAAGGAGCUGUUUAAAUCCCUCUAGACAUCCCUUUUCAAUGGAUAUCUCUUUUGAGUAUAAAGAGAGCUUUCAAUGUGUCUUGCUAUCAUUUUCCUGACCCUAAUCCCAGAUUAACUAGAAUCACCUUUAGCAUCUAAGUGAGUGGGUGCUAUGACCUUCCAUCAACGCAUGUGGCAUAGAUGCUAAAGCACCAGUCUUACAUGGUGGGAACCAUGUUAAAAAUCAAUGGAUAAAGUAGCAGAGCCUCUAAACUAAGAAGAAAGAGACAUAGCUUAAUUACAGAACACUGUAUUUUCAUAAUCACUAUUUCAUUGUGAGUAUGAAGUUCUCCUCUUUUCCUUAAAACUAAAUUCCAUCUUCCCUGAGAAUAGGGUUAAGAGAAAUAUUAAAACGCAAAAUGUCAAGGGCCUUUUAAAAGAUAACACAAUGGGAUGUCUAUAGCUAACUGCAACGUAAAUGUGUUUCUACUCUAAAAGCUUUUCCAUUACUCAGGUUUUAACCUCACCUCCCCUCUGGACUCUAGGAAUACAUGUAGAGAUGGGAAAAGUCAAUGGGGAAAAUGUGCGAAUGAUCGAUUUCUUCGAUUGUCGGAUUGAGGGUGGCACAAUGUCUUAGGCGGCGGCGGGUAAGUGACUCAAGCGAACCUGUUCGUUCCCUAGGCGCCCCUGUCUCCAAGAGGCGGCCCCGAAGGUGAUCCGCCCCCCAGAGCAGGAAACCAGCCCACCAGUCCCAGCAAACUCUCCUCCGAGCCUGGGAUGAGGAAAGGAGUCCUGCAGGUCUCUAACGAUGGGUCCUAGGGGUUCAGCAGCAAAGUUGACACAAAGCUGUCUCUGCCCUAUACCCGGUGCUGCCCAUGGUACUGCACUCGACCGGGCCUUGACCCGGAGUCGCCGAUACUACAGCUGCCAUGGCCGCCAAGUGGCAUCUCUUC
RNAcentral lists this long non-coding RNA (1208 nucleotides) under Homo sapiens (human). Its description in RNAcentral is "non-protein coding lnc-ERH-1:1". The record is from RNAcentral. Lineage: Eukaryota; Metazoa; Chordata; Mammalia; Primates; Hominidae.